GCCUACGGGGCGCAGCAGUGAGGAAUAUUGGUCAAUGGGCGGGAGCCUGAACCAGCCAAGCCGCGUGAGGGAAGAAGGUACAGCGUAUCGUAAACCUCUUUUGUCAGGGAACAAAGGCGGGGACUAGUCCCCGGAUGAGGGUACCUGAAGAAAAAGCAUCGGCUAACUCCGUGCCAGCAGCCGCGGUAAUACGGAGGAUGCGAGCGUUAUCCGGAUUUAUUGGGUUUAAAGGGUGCGUAGGCGGCAUUAUAAGUUAGUGGUAAAAUAUUGGGGCUUCACCUCACUACGCCAUUAAUACUGUAGAG
This 305-nucleotide ribosomal RNA is filed under the name uncultured bacterium. RNAcentral's name for it is "bacterial SSU rRNA". It matches the Rfam family "Bacterial small subunit ribosomal RNA", at positions 337 to 640 of the family's 1533-position model. The record is from RNAcentral.